AACUUUCACAAAAUUGGACAUUUAAGCUUUUGCUUUAGAGUAUGUUAGCAACUGUUGAGUAGGUUGACUUCAGCCAACUUGGGAGAGAACACGUCACUGCAGAUGUUAUCUGUCAGUUGGUUUCAUAAGGCAGCUUUAUCUGCUCCAAAUGAAGCCAAUCUCUCCUAGUGUAACACUGUACCAGCAACUGCCAGUAAGGGGGGCGGGGAGGUUUACAGUCUCAAAUAAACUGAAUGGGUGGCCCAGGAGAUGGCACAGUGGAUAAAGCACUGGACACUCAUGCAUGAGAUCCUGAUUCAAUCCCUGGCAGCACAUGUACCAGAGUGAUGUCUGGUUAAUUGUCUCUCUCUCCUGUAUCUUUCUCAUGAAUAAAUUUUUAAAAAAUUGUUAAAGUCCUAAAAUAAUAAAAAUAAACAUUAUUAU
Long non-coding RNA from Erinaceus europaeus (western European hedgehog), 423 nucleotides. RefSeq lists it as uncharacterized. The transcript is spliced from 2 exons. The record is from RefSeq and is a predicted model, not a curated record. NCBI's taxonomy places the organism in Eukaryota, Metazoa, Chordata, Mammalia, Eulipotyphla, Erinaceidae.